CCUUACCAUUGAGCCACCAGGGAAGCCCGAGUAAGAUGCAUCCUAGGUUAAAUUCCAAAGUAGAUGUAUCUUUUCAACAGAAGUGUUUAUAGUUAGAUAAAAUCACCUGGCAUUGACCUUAUAAGACAACUGUACUUUAAAAGUGGGGAUGAUGACCUUUAGAUACAGAAUAUAAGUAUAGCAUGUGGAAUGCAUAGGAGAUCUCGAAUCAGAGAUUCAGACCCAACACUGGUUUCACUUCUUACCAACUUGUGACAUACUCUCUUAUUCUUCAAACUUCCCAUCUGUAAAACAUAGUUCCUAUCUCACAGGUAAUGAAAGUAGCAUACCUGCAUGUGCUUUGUAAAAGUGAAAGUGAAGCCGCUCAGUCGUGUCCAGUUCUUUGUGACCCUGUGGACUGCAGCCUACCAGGCUCCUCCAUCCAUGGGAUUCUCCAGGCAAGAGUACUGGAGUGGGGUGCCAUUUCCUUCUCCAGGGGAUCUUCCCGAUCCAGGGAUCAAAUCCUGGUCUCCCGCAUUGGAGGCAGACGCUUUAACCUCUGAGCCACCAGGGAAGCCUUCCAAACAAUAGGCUGUUGUUUGUAUUGCUGCCAUGUCAAGGAAGAGUAAUAUACAUGUAGCUCACUCAUAAGAAGAAGAAGGAAAGGGUGCCACUAUCAGGGAGUCAACCCCAGUUGCCUCUGUGGCUCAAAAACACUGGAGAUGCAGCAGGGGAAGGAAAGGGUGGGGCGAAUGGGAAGAAUAGCGUGGAAACAUGUACAUUACCAUAUGCAAAAUAGGUAGCCAGUGAGUAUUUGUUGUGUGACACAGGGAGAGCCUGAGUUUGAUGACUGUGGCUUUUGUCAUAUUUUAUUUUGCCAACCACAGUUGGCUGAGGCUAUUGCCUUGAUUCUCUGCCAAUCACAUGGAAAUUAUUUUUUCAUUCAAGUACCAAUACAUUUGUUGAGCAUCUGCCAUAUGCCCAGCAUUGUGGCAUUCAUAAUAAACAGUGGGAAUACAAUGUAAUCGAAAUAAAGUCCCUGUCCUGAUGGAAUUUACAUUCUAGUUGUUUAGUCACUUAGUUGUAUGCAAUUCUUUGCAAUGCCAUGGACUGCAGCCCACCAGGCUCCUCUGUCCAUGGGAUUUCCCAGGCAAGAAGACUGGAGUGGGUUGCCAUUCGUUCCUCCAGGGUUCUUCCCAACCCAGGUGUUGAAUCUGCAUCUCCUGAAAGUCUCCUGCAUUGCAGGUGGAAUCUUUACUGCUGAGCCACUGGGAAGCCCUUACAUUCUAGAGGAGAGACAUGAACAAAAGAUAAACGAAUACACAAAAAAUUAAACCAAGUGAUAAGAGCAUGGCCUACGUGCUAGAAGGAAAUUAACAUCAUAGAUUAAGCCUCAAGAGUCUCUGCGGCUCGAGAUGAUUCUCAGUCUCCAAAGAAAAUCAUUCUUCAUGUUGUGCUAAUCUUACAGUGACAAAGACAGAACUCCUCUUUAGAGGGAGUCCUACAGCAGAAUUCUUUGGAUCCCUAAAGAUAAAAUUCAUACUUAGCAGCCUGGUGGGAUUGUUUCUAUGUCAGUCAUCAUCAUCUCCUCAAGAGAAGUAAAUGUGAACCUCAAGGGCUCUCUUUAAUUCUAGGAUAGGAUGGCUAGGGGUAAGAGAAGAUUAACUUGAUUAAAAUGUGCCUUGCAAUUUUGUACAUUCUUUGGGCAGUCUUUACCUCCCACGAGUACUAAUUUAAUCAGGAAACUCAUCGUAUGAAUUACUUUAACAGAAUGGUACUAUAAAAUAAAAGACAUACUACUACAUUUUGAAGAAUAGGCCUUGUCUGUAACUUUAAAAAGCCACCACUAACCAGAAAGGGACUGUGUAGUUGAUUAUUAUCCAAGAUAAAAAUCAUUGUUUUCAUUUAUCAGUGAAAGGAAAUUUUUAGGGUUCCUAGGUUCCUAAAAUAUAUAUUAUAUAAUUAAAUAUAAUAUAUAAUAUAUAUUAUACAUAUAAUAUAUGUAUUCCAUUUAUUUUAUUUAUCAUACCAGUUGGUUUCUGUGGUUAUGGAGGCCGAGAAGUCUCACAAUCUGCUGAUCUGCCAGGCGUAAGCCAGAGAACCACGAAAGCCGAUGGUGUAGUUGUUCAGCCUGCAUGCCUGAGAAGGGGAAGAGAGGCAAUGAUUAAGUCUCUGAGUCUGAAUGCCCAAAGAUCAGGAGCACCAAUGUCUAAGGGCAGAAAAAAAUGGAUGUCUUGGCUUAAUCAGAGAAAAUGAAUUUGCCCUUUUUCUACCUUUUUGUUCUGUUCAAUUCCUCAAUGAAUUAGGUGAUGUCUGCUUGCACUGGAAAGGGGGAUUCUUACUCAUUCUACUGAUUCAAAUGCUAAUGUCUUCCAGAGAUACUUCACAGACACACCCAGAAAUAAUGUUUAUCAGCUAUCUGGCCAGAAAAAGCGUCCUGAGAGUGGACAGUGAGGCCACAUGGAAUGAGAUCUUUUCCCCAGAAGAGAUGACAGGUACUCCUUGCAAGCUUGAACUGGAGACACAGAGAGUAUUAACCAAUGGAAUUGUGUGAGGGAGCAAAAUCUUUGUGUAACCAGAAACCCCUCAGGGAAGUGGAGACCGGUAAGUGGCACUUAUCUUCCAACCACAUCCCCUCUGGCUUUUUUUUUUUUUUUUUUUUUUUGCUUUUUGCUUUUUCAGACACCUAGGGUGGGAAGGCAUAUGGCUAAAUAAUCUUUCCCAUCUUAAUGAAUAGUACCUGUGUUCACCUAGUUGAUCAGACCAGAAACCUCAGUGUCACUUUUGACAAUUCUCUUUCUUCACUCCCCAACUUUAAUCCAUCAUCAAAUGUUGUGUCCUCUAAAAUAUCAUUUGAUGUAUAUCUCUCCAUCUUUACUACCUUUUCCCCUUUUCCCCCUAAGACUUUAGGUCUUUCCUGAACUUGGACAAUAACCUUUUAACUGGCCUCCCCUCAUCCACUUUUGCCAUUUCCAACCCAUGCUCCACAUAGUAUCUGGAGUAGGUAACUCCCCUCCUAAAAUUUUCAUAGCCCUUAGAGAAAGUCCACAAGAUUUUUUCAUUGCUUAAAAGGCCCUCUGUGAUCUGGCCCUUGUUCAUCCCUCCAGCUUCAUUCAGCACCAUUUCCCCUAGUUUACAUGGUUCUAGACACACAGCCCUUGUCUUUGAGUUUCUCAAACCCACCAAACGUAUCCAACAUGUGUUUUCUUGGCCUGGAUAUUCUUUCCUCAGUUCUUAUCAUUCCUCUUUACUCUUAAGGUAUCAGUUUUAUUGAAUCAAUAAUUCAAUAAAUCAAAGUAUCUACUCUGACCCCUGUUCUGUGCUAGGCAUUGUGAAUGCAAUAGAAGGCAAGACAGACCUGGAUCCUAUUCCACAAUCUUAUAAUUUCGGUGAGAAAAGUGGGCACCAACAAAUAGCAUCCAGAGAAAUGUAAAAUAGCUCCAUGGUGCUAGGAGAUCCUAUGAUGGGGGAUCUGACCUCGUCAGAAAGGUCAGAAGACAGAAAAAACAACUGAGUAGAAAUCUGAAGAAGGAUAUCAUUAAAGAAAAAAAGGGGGGUUACAAGAAGAGCAAGUUAUACAUGCAGAGAGGCCCAGUAGAAGAGUAAUUGUGGGACUUACAAAGAACCAAAAGACAGCCAGUGUGGUGAAGCUGAGAGGAGGGAACUGUGGUAAAACUUGAGCUAGAGAUGUCAAAGCGUGCAAGGCAGAGGCAGAUGACUCUGCCACUCAGGGACUGGGCAGAUAAUGUGAAAUUGCAAGAGGGAGGAGCGGAACCUAUGAGAAAAUGAAGACUAUGAACCUUGCUUCUAACAGAUUUGUAUUUUGCGAAAUGCAGUGUUUUGCAAAACUAAGAAAGAAAUCAAAAACAAGACUGGAUAAUAUCCUCAUGUGGUUAAGAUAUUACACCCCUGCAACCAAAACAAGAUGUUCUUUCCGGCUGCAGUGUAGUAAGUGGACUGGAAGUUCUAGGUAUGUUGGUCAAGUUCACACAUUUAUCUAGUUCUUCCUCCCUGACAAAACCUCACUAAAAGAAAAUUUUUUAAUUAAUAAACAUACAGCAAUGUGGAGGAAAAAAAGGAAAGGAUAUAAAAGGCCAGGAAUUUUGAGGCUGGAAAGCAUCGGGACAAUUGCAGCAGAUUUAAAGACCUCAAAAAGCCAAAUCCUAAACUAGUGAUGGCAAAAACCAAGAACGAACCUCAUUUGUACCCACAAAAUCCUCAAGGGUCUGUGACUUUGAUAGCUCCAAGCCCUUCUGAAAAUCAGAAGGACCAGCUGAAGACUAUAUAAGAAUCAGGUAGAUCCUUUUGUCCCCUCUCCUACUCUACAUUGCUCAGCCACUGCCCCUUCCCCACCCUGGCAGAAGUCUGAAAGUUUAUUCUCUGGAGAGGGUAAAUUAAAGGGAUUCUGGACUGGUGAAUACCAAACAUAGUUAAAGGUUAAGAUAUUAUGCCAAAUUAGGAAUUAAAGGAACUUUCCGAUGGCAAAACACCCAGCCUUUUUCCUCUACUUGGCUUCUGGAAUACUAUAAGCCAGGCCUUUCCUCUCUGGCAGAAGAUUAGAAGAGUCUGUUCUGGGGAUUCUGACCAAAACAACACGAUCAUUACAGAACAGCCCAAUCAGAUGUUCCUAAAAUAAAACUAAACUAGUUAACAUGAGCUGAUAACAAAUGAAAGAGAAACCUGGUAGUCAGGUUAGUCAGGGCUGUUACUUGAAAAAGUAGGGUGAAAAAGAAAAGAUAAGACUAAACAAAAACAGAACACCAAUCCAGGAAGUAGACUAUUCAAAUAACUAGAGUUGCAGGGAAAGUGGAAGAAUGAAAAUCAUCAAUGAAAUGAUUUUAAUAGUUUCUCAGAACUGAAGGACAUGACUUUCCAGAUUGAAAGGACCCGCAAAGCCAGAAUAAAACAGAUGAAAAUAGAUCCACAAAAGUCACUUUGUUGUGAAAUUUCAGAACACUGAGCACAAAGAAAAUACCAUAAACUGAAAAAGGAAUCUAGAGACAAUAGAGCAAUGCUUCCAAAAAUCUGAAUGAAAAUGAACUCCAAUCUAGAAUUCUGUAUAGAAUUAAACUGUCACUCAAACAUGAGGGUCAGGAUUAUGAUGUUUUCAGGUGUAAAUUUUUACUUCACAUGUGGUCUAUACUUCUAUAUCCCUUUGCUUAGGAAGCUUCUGAACUAUAUGUUCUACAAAUAUGAAAAUAAAUCAAAAAAAUUAUUGUAUAGAGGAAAUAAGAAAGCUGACACAGAUGUCUAACAGACUCAACACACAGUACUAAAGAAGUCUCAGGAGAAGGAAAAAGGGAGACACCAAAAUGUUACCUAAGCACUUGAAAAAGAGGGGCAUAUGUCCAGAUUGGAGCACAGUGCGCCUCAAGAAAUGGGACAUGUUGAGAGAGCCAUCAAGGUAAAAAUGCCUAGUGUAACCUGAGGGCUGAGUGUGGCGGUGAUCCUCUCAAUAAGUUCUAUAAAAAGAAAUUACUCUCCCAAGAUGUAGACAUCCCUUUCUUCAAUACUACUCAAAGCAGUAUUGAGUAGUUUACUUAUUCUAAUAUAUUCUGCUAUACAUUAACCUCUUACUUUGGCUACUCUGUCAAAUAUUGUGAAAUUAGGAAACUUUUUAAGAUAAGUCAACUCAUCUAAGAAGUGGUUAGUAUAAACUCAUAGAAGCAAUCACAUGUAUACAUCUUUACAGUAUAGGUUUUCUCUGGAAGCACUAAGAUUUAGAUUAAAAAUAAAUAUUAAUAGCUUAACAUUGUAAUAUGCCUUAUAUUCACACUUUAGCCCUGAGAUAGGCAGUGUAGCAGAUUAAGAAAUACAAAGUGUAGAGUAGUAUUCUCUAUUUCCUCCUUUCAUCCAUUGCUUUAAUGUUUUACAUCCAAUCUUAUACAUAUAGGAAAACAUUUCUCAUUCAUGCCAGUUAUUUUGCAUUCAUCAUAUUGCAUUGUAGGCUCAUAUUUUUAUAAGUCUAGCUUUCAAAACCAGAAUGUAAGUUACUUUAGGAUAUGGAAUAUGUUCUAUAAUAUAAAAUUCUCUCUUGACUCCACCCCUUUGUUUUGCACAGUGUCUGACCCAAGUCAGGUGAGUUCCUGCCUUUGCUCUAUUUCUCUCCAUAUUUAAAGUCACCUGCAAAAUUAGCUCUACUCUAUUACCAGGGCUAAUCUUACUGAGGCAAGAAUCAAUUAAAGUCUUUCCAAAUCAAUAUUUGGGGUUCAUAUUCAUUUCCAACCUUGGUGAGGUACUCUAAGUUUGAUAACUGGCCUCCCACCCCUCAGUCUUGAGCUCUUAAGUGCCCUUGUAUGCAAAACCUACCUUCUAUUAUAUUGCUGUUCUCCUAUUCCUAAUCAGAAAGCUUUCCAUAAUACCUCCGUCACUCCCAGGAAAGGCAGCAAAGGCAAGUUGAGAUGGAUUUUCUCCCUCGGAAGGAAUCUGGAUUGUAAAUUAUAUCUCAAAGAAGUUCUGACCUGAGGCUUGGGAGCUGGGUUUUCAUACGCCAUCAUCUGACAGCCAUUGGUUGAGAACUGCUUCACAGCAGCCAUGGUAGCCCAAGAGCCGUCCUCCAGAGAAUAUUAGGUUCCGUGAAGAGGUGAAAAAACACUGGAGCAUAGAAAUAGUCAAAGUAAUCCAAGGAGUACUUCCAAUGUCUGCCACAGCUCUAGCCAUCAGAAGCAGAUCACCAGAGAAAAGUGCAGAAAGCUGAGUGCCCCACAGCCUGUAGCAGUGGCUGGGGAUCAUCUCACACCACCUGCAAUGGAUGCAGCUAAAGUCACAGGAGAAGAAAGCCAGGUGGCAUGAACACUGGGCCAUCUGUCCCAUGAGGGAGCAUCAGGAAAGAUGCCAGAGCUGCAGCAAUUGGAGAGUUCUGAUGAGAUAGAGAGCAGCAGAGGUGAUAACGGCCAAUGUCAAAAGACAGAGGAAGACCUCAGUGCAAAUAUUUCUGAAUAGACAUGAACCACUGUGGCACUUCCAAAGAACCAGGAGUUUGGGCUAGUACUCCUGCAGUUCUUUGGAGGCUUCCCUGGUGGCUCAGUUCAUAAAGAAUCUACUGCAAUGCAGGAGACACGAGUUCGUCCCUGGGUUGGAAAGAUCCCCUAGAGAAGGAAAUGGCAACCUACUCUAGUAAUCGUGCCUGGGAAAUCCCAUGGACAGAGGAGCUUGCUGGGCUACAGUCCUUGGGGUCACAAGAGUUGGACAUGACUAAACCACCACUACCACAGAGUACAAUAUUAUUGUAGGUUGGUGUGGCUUAAGGAAACACAAAUGACGAACUUUUUUCUCUGCUAUACUGUUAUUCUGCUCUUACUGAGUCCACAUAAGGGUUUAAAAUAUUAUCAUUGAUAUUUGGCAAAACUAAUACAAUUAUGUAAAGUUUAAAAAUAAAAUAAAAUUAAAAAAAAUAAAAUAAAAUAUUAUCAGACAUUAAGGGGAAAAAAAUCAAACAUGUUGGACCUAUCCUUUUACUUCCUACUGGAAAAUGGCAAUGGCACCCCAUUUUCCAGUACUUUUGCCUGGA
Bubalus bubalis (water buffalo) is the source of this 7489-nucleotide long non-coding RNA. RefSeq lists it as uncharacterized. Lineage: Eukaryota; Metazoa; Chordata; Mammalia; Artiodactyla; Bovidae. The transcript is spliced from 4 exons. The record is from RefSeq and is a predicted model, not a curated record.